Molecule: long non-coding RNA, 567 nt
Organism: Rhododendron vialii
Lineage: Eukaryota; Viridiplantae; Streptophyta; Magnoliopsida; Ericales; Ericaceae
Exons: 3
Source: RefSeq, a predicted model, not a curated record
AGGAUGUGGAAGUCAACACUCAUGCUACGGGAUUUCACGAGAUUGUCAUGCAAGAGAGUGGAAACGUUACUCCAUCUCAGGCAAGUGUAGGAUAUCUUGGUACGUGGAGCUAUGACCUUAAUGAAUCUCCAUAUGAUUUGGAACAUGAUUAUAGGAUGGAAUGAUGCAUUUGAGAUACAAGACAUGAUAUGAAACAAAUGAAGGAUGUGAAACAAAUGACUAGCGUCCACUUUUGUGAAAUAUCAUGUUGCUACUUUUGCAUCAUUUUGGUGUUGAAAUUGUAGUUUUUUGGUUUUGUAAUUGCUGUAUUUUGUUGGUGGAAUGCAGUUUUUUGGUGUGGUAUAUGCCCCAAGCUUUGCUUCAUUGAAGCAUGGGCUAAUGCUGUAGAUGAAUCCGCUUUUGAUGUUGCUACUUUUUUGGCAAAAGCGUGAGGAGAUGGCAGAAGCAUGAGUGGAAAGUUAUCAGUCAAAUUUAGUGUCAAAACUCGAGUGCAUGAUUUCCAAUUAUGUAAAUUCGUUCAUAUCAAUGUAUUUUGAUUUCUCCAAAUUCGUUCAUUGUGUAAAUUUG